RNAcentral lists this transfer RNA (69 nucleotides) under Ictidomys tridecemlineatus (thirteen-lined ground squirrel). RNAcentral's name for it is "Spermophilus tridecemlineatus (thirteen-lined ground squirrel) tRNA". It matches the Rfam family "tRNA". Rfam says of the family: Transfer RNA (tRNA) molecules are approximately 80 nucleotides in length. Their secondary structure includes four short double-helical elements and three loops (D, anti-codon, and T loops). Further hydrogen bonds mediate the characteristic L-shaped molecular structure. tRNAs have two regions of fundamental functional importance: the anti-codon, which is responsible for specific mRNA codon recognition, and the 3' end, to which the tRNAs corresponding amino acid is attached (by aminoacyl-tRNA synthetases). tRNAs cope with the degeneracy of the genetic code in two manners: having more than one tRNA (with a specific anti-codon) for a particular amino acid; and 'wobble' base-pairing, i.e. permitting non-standard base-pairing at the 3rd anti-codon position. The record is from Rfam by way of RNAcentral. Lineage: Eukaryota; Metazoa; Chordata; Mammalia; Rodentia; Sciuridae.
GGAGUUGUGGCCCAAUGGUAGAGCACUUGCCUGGCAUGUGUGGGGCCCUGAGUUCAAUCCUCAGCACCG